GAUGAAGAACUUAGCGAAAUGCGAUACUUGGUGUGAAUUGCAGAAUCCCGUGAACCAUCGAGUCUUUGAACGCAAGUUGCGCCCGAAGCCGUCAGGCCGAGGGCACGCCUGCCUGGGCGUCACACGCCGUUGCCCCCCCGCGCCCCGCACCCAACUCUUUGGGAGCGACCGCGGGGCGGGCUGAUGAUGGCCUCCCGUGCGCUCCGCCGCGCGGUUGGCCCAAAUACCGAGUCCCCGGCGACGUGCGCCACGACGAUCGGUGGUUGAGAGACCUCUGUCGCAAGUCGUGCGCGCCCGUCGCGUCACGCGGGCUCGCAUAGCGCCUCGCGCCGCACCCGGUGCGGAGCUUUCAACGCGACCCCAGGUCAGGCGGGGUUACCCGCUGAAUUUAAGCAUAUCAAUAAGCGGAGGA
This 412-nucleotide unclassified non-coding RNA is filed under the name soil metagenome. Its description in RNAcentral is "partial contains 5.8S ribosomal RNA, internal transcribed spacer 2, and large subunit ribosomal RNA". The stretch from base 1 to 122 matches the Rfam family "5.8S ribosomal RNA", at positions 35 to 154 of the family's 154-position model. The record is from RNAcentral.